RNAcentral lists this ribosomal RNA (685 nucleotides) under Pantoea dispersa. RNAcentral's name for it is "bacterial SSU rRNA". It matches the Rfam family "Bacterial small subunit ribosomal RNA", at positions 79 to 760 of the family's 1533-position model. The record is from RNAcentral. Lineage: Bacteria; Pseudomonadati; Pseudomonadota; Gammaproteobacteria; Enterobacterales; Erwiniaceae.
GCUCUUUGGGUGACGAGUGGCGGACGGGUGAGUAAUGUCUGGGAAACUGCCCGAUGGAGGGGGAUAACUACUGGAAACGGUAGCUAAUACCGCAUAACGUCGCAAGACCAAAGUGGGGGACCUUCGGGCCUCACACCAUCGGAUGUGCCCAGAUGGGAUUAGCUAGUAGGCGGGGUAAUGGCCCACCUAGGCGACGAUCCCUAGCUGGUCUGAGAGGAUGACCAGCCACACUGGAACUGAGACACGGUCCAGACUCCUACGGGAGGCAGCAGUGGGGAAUAUUGCACAAUGGGCGCAAGCCUGAUGCAGCCAUGCCGCGUGUAUGAAGAAGGCCUUCGGGUUGUAAAGUACUUUCAGCGGGGAGGAAGGCGAUGCGGUUAAUAACCGCGUCGAUUGACGUUACCCGCAGAAGAAGCACCGGCUAACUCCGUGCCAGCAGCCGCGGUAAUACGGAGGGUGCAAGCGUUAAUCGGAAUUACUGGGCGUAAAGCGCACGCAGGCGGUCUGUUAAGUCAGAUGUGAAAUCCCCGGGCUCAACCCGGGAACUGCAUUUGAAACUGGCAGGCUUGAGUCUCGUAGAGGGGGGUAGAAUUCCAGGUGUAGCGGUGAAAUGCGUAGAGAUCUGGAGGAAUACCGGUGGCGAAGGCGGCCCCCUGGACGAAGACUGACGCUCAGGUGCGAAAGC